CGAUAAUCUGCCCUAAGGUUCAGGAUAGUCUCGGGAAACUGAGGGUAAACCUGAAUAUGAGAUAGGUACUGGAACGUCCUCUCUCUUAAAGGUAACGCCUUAGGAUGAGUCGGCGGCUGAUUAGGUUGUUGGUGAGGUAAUGGCUCACCAAGCCUUGGAUCAGUAGGGGGGAUGAGAGUCCUAGCCCCGAGAAGGGCACUGCGACACUGGCCCUAGCCCUAAGGGGUGCAGCGGGCGCGAAAACUCUACACUGCACGAAAGUGUGAUAGGGGAAUCCCAAGUGCUUUGCCUUCGGGUAAAGCUUUUGCCAAGUCUAAAUAGCUUGGCGAAUAAGUGGUGGGUAAGACGGGUGCCAGCCGCCGCGGUAACACCUGCGCCACAAGUGGCGAUCACAAUUAUUGGGUCUAAAGCGUUCGUAGCCGGCUAGGUAAGUCUUUUGUGAAAUUGUUGGUCUUAAGCCAACAGCGUGCAAGGGAAACUACCUUGCUUGAGACCGGGAGGAGACAAUGGUAUUCUAGGGGGAGCGGUAAAAUGUGAGAAUCCCUGGAGGACCACCAGUGGCGAAGGCGAUUGUCUAGAACGGGUCUGACGGUGAGGAACGAAGGCUGGGGGAGCAAAACGGAUUAGAUACCCGAGUAGUCCCAGCAGUAAACGCUGUGAGCUAUGUGUUGCGCUUUCUUAGUGAAUGCGCAGUGCCUAAGCGAAGGUGUUAAGCUCACCACCUGGGGAGUACGGUCGCAAGAUUGAAACUUAAAGGAAUUGGCGGGAGCUCACUACAAGGAGUGAAGAGUGCGGUUU
Molecule: ribosomal RNA, 798 nt
Filed under: uncultured archaeon
Lineage: Archaea
Description: bacterial SSU rRNA
Rfam family: Archaeal small subunit ribosomal RNA
Source: RNAcentral